This is a non-coding RNA of Salmo salar (Atlantic salmon), 445 nucleotides long. NCBI's taxonomy places the organism in Eukaryota, Metazoa, Chordata, Actinopteri, Salmoniformes, Salmonidae. The record is from RefSeq and is a predicted model, not a curated record.
UAAUCUCAGAGGCCAGAGCAGUGUGGAUGGAAAAUUAGAAGGAAGUAGAAAGUGUUAUUCCAGAGCACUGGAUCAAAGUGUGUGGUGGCCCCCAAAUAAAUAUGACAAAGCAAUGAAGGAUUGGUCCACACCCUCUCUGAAAUGGAAGUCCUUUCAGCUUCUGAGGAUAAAACUCACAUCAGAAUCAAAACAGCAAUGUGAAGACAUCAAAAUCACAGAAGCCAGUGAAGUGGAGAUGUCCAAGAGAAACCGAACUGGCAAAAGUCUACCCAAGCCCCCACCAAAUUAUGCCCCAAAGCACCAGAAAACCUGUGCCACCGCUACCAAGAAGCAAAAAGCUAAAACGCAGCACAAACCACCAAGUAAGGGAAGACCCCUAUGAAAUGGACAGAAAUGAAUAGCAACUUAUUGCCAUUGGGUGAACCAUAUACACAAUCGCAAAUAC